Long non-coding RNA from Venturia canescens, 467 nucleotides. RefSeq lists it as uncharacterized. The transcript is spliced from 2 exons. The record is from RefSeq and is a predicted model, not a curated record. NCBI's taxonomy places the organism in Eukaryota, Metazoa, Arthropoda, Insecta, Hymenoptera, Ichneumonidae.
AAAUAAAUUACAUUAGCAAAACUGGAGAUGACCAACAUCGUUGAAAUUCGAAGGACAUAUUUCUCGAUGGGUAUAUAAAAUCGAUGGUUUCCUAUUGCUCGAUACCAGAGUCGAGAAAUAUCUUGAAGAAUUUGCACAGCGGAGAGAACUUUUUGUCCCAGCAACAUGAUUCGUAUCCUGAUGAUUUUUAUCCUUGCUCUCGCAUCGAGCAACGUCGAAGGUGCGCCAUAUCCACCCCUGUUGCCUGGACAUCCACUAGUUUUACCGGCGAGUUAUGUGAAGUUUGUGCAUCCAGGGUUUGCACCGUUGCCUUAUCAUCCAGGGUUGAGCUGGGUCCACCCACCUUCCGUUUUUCUUCCGCAUCAUUAUUAAGGAGACGUAUGCAAAUAUUUUGUCUUUCGUUUCCAUCUCACGUAUUAUCGAUUUGCGUCGCUAGCAAAUUUCAAUAAACGCAUUAUAAAAUCGCA